RNAcentral lists this long non-coding RNA (850 nucleotides) under Lonchura striata (white-rumped munia). Its description in RNAcentral is "domestica (Bengalese finch) lncRNA (ENSLSDG00000013648.1)". The record is from RNAcentral. Lineage: Eukaryota; Metazoa; Chordata; Aves; Passeriformes; Estrildidae.
ACUUUAUUCAAUCAAUUCUUGUGUCUCUCCAAUGAAUAAAACUAUGCCUUUCAGGAAUGAGGAAACUGAGGAAGAGGUGCUAAACGUGUUUGCACGGCUCACAGAGAUUUGGUCACAGCAGAAAUUGUUGGAUUCAGGAGGCUACUCCACCCCCAUCUGCACCCACAUCACAAGCCCACACCUUCCCCUUCUGGUGUUACUGGAAUACAAAUGCUUCUUUCUCUUAUGUGCUUGCCAAGACCUGGGGCAGAACCAUCAUAUUCCCUGUAUGCCAGUGGAUGUGGUCAUUCCACAAGGAGCUUAUUCACAGAAUCACAUGUUUGGAAGAGACCGUCAAGAUCAUCAUUGAGUCCAACCCGUGACCUAACACCUCAACUAGACCAUGGCACCAAGUGCAACAUCCAGUCUUCCUAAACACAUCCAGGGAUGGUGAUGACACCACCUCCCUGGGGAGGCCAUUCCAAUACUUUAUCAGUCUUUCUGUAAAAAACUUCUUCCUAAUAUCCAAUUUGUAUUUCCCUUGGCACAGUUUAAAACUGUGCCCUCUGGUUCUAUCAGUUGCUGCCUGGAUAAAGAGACCAACAAUCACCUUUCAGGGAGUUAUAGAGAGUGAUAAGGUCACCUCUGAGUCUCCUUUUCUCCAGGCUGAACACCCCCAGCUCCCUCAGCCGUUCCUCACAGGGUUUGUGUUCCAAGCCCCUCUCCAGCCUCGUUGACUCCUCUGGAUGUGCUCAAGUGCCUCAAUGUCCUUCCCAAACUGAGGGCCCAGAACUGACACAGCACUCAAGGUGUGGCCUCACCAGUGCUGAGUACAGGAGGAGAAUGACCUCCCUGCUCCUGCUGGCCACAC